This 502-nucleotide ribosomal RNA is filed under the name uncultured bacterium. RNAcentral describes it as "bacterial SSU rRNA". It matches the Rfam family "Bacterial small subunit ribosomal RNA", at positions 899 to 1397 of the family's 1533-position model. The record is from RNAcentral.
ACUCAAAGGAAUUGACGGGGGCCCGCACAAGCGGUGGAGCAUGUUGGUUAAUUGGAUGAUACGCCAAGAACCUUACCAGGGCUUGAAAUGGUAGGGACAGCUGGUGAAAGCCAGUUUCCUGGGCAACCAGGUCCUAUCACAGGUGGUGCAUGGUUGUCGUCAGCUCGUGUCGUGAGAUGUUGGGUUAAGUCCCGCAACGAGCGCAACCCUCGCCGGAUGUUGCCAUCGGUCAGGCCGGGAACUCUUCCGGGACUGCCCGAGUAAUCGGGAGGAGGGAGGGGAUGACGUCAAAUCGGCAUGCCCCUUACGCCCUGGGCUGCAAACGUGCUACAAUGGCCGGUACAAAGGGUUGCUAAGCCGCGAGGUGGAGCCAAUCCCCCAAAACCGGUCCCAGUUCGGAUUGGGUGUCUGCAACUCGACCCCAUGAAGUCGGAAUCGCUAGUAACCGUGGAUCAGCAACGCCACGGUGAAUACGUUCCCGGGCCUUGUACACACCGCCCGU